CAGUUCGGAUCGGAGUCUGCAACCCGACUCCGUGAAGCUGGAUUCGCUAGUAAUCGCGCAUCAGCCAUGGCGCGGUGAAUACGUUCCCGGGCCUUGUACACACCGCCCGUCAAGCCAUGGGAGCCGGGGGUGCUUGAAGUGCGUCGCCGCGAGGCGCGCCCUAGAGCAAAACCGGUGACUGGGGCUAAGUCGUAACAAGGUAAC
RNAcentral lists this ribosomal RNA (204 nucleotides) under uncultured bacterium. Its description in RNAcentral is "partial 16S ribosomal RNA". It matches the Rfam family "Bacterial small subunit ribosomal RNA", at positions 1289 to 1500 of the family's 1533-position model. The record is from RNAcentral.